RNAcentral lists this ribosomal RNA (404 nucleotides) under Paeniclostridium hominis. Its description in RNAcentral is "bacterial SSU rRNA". It matches the Rfam family "Bacterial small subunit ribosomal RNA", at positions 1 to 412 of the family's 1533-position model. The record is from RNAcentral. Lineage: Bacteria; Bacillati; Bacillota; Clostridia; Peptostreptococcales; Peptostreptococcaceae.
UUUUAUUUGAGAGUUUGAUCCUGGCUCAGGAUGAACGCUGGCGGCGUGCCUAACACAUGCAAGUCGAGCGAUUCUCUUCGGAGAAGAGCGGCGGACGGGUGAGUAACGCGUGGGUAACCUGCCCUGUACACACGGAUAACAUACCGAAAGGUAUGCUAAUACGAGAUGAUAUAUUUUUAUUGCAUGAUAAAGAUAUCAAAGCUUUUGCGGUACAGGAUGGACCCGCGUCUGAUUAGCUAGUUGGUAAGGUAACGGCUUACCAAGGCGACGAUCAGUAGCCGACCUGAGAGGGUGAUCGGCCACACUGGAACUGAGACACGGUCCAGACUCCUACGGGAGGCAGCAGUGGGGAAUAUUGCACAAUGGGCGAAAGCCUGAUGCAGCAACGCCGCGUGAGCGAUGAA